GUUUAAUUUGGCUACAAAAUUUGUGGUGCCCAUUAUUGGGUUACCAUUACAUACAGCUACAAACAGCAUGAAAAUUAAGUUUAUGUUAUUUCUUUCACAUUUUACCUGCUGCUUCCUGAUCAUGGAUACUUCGGACAUCCUAGUACAAAUCCUAUCCGAAGAGUCUCCGGAUGAGAUCCUGGAUCAUUACACCGAAGAUGUCAUUCCAACCCAGCUAGUGAGACGCAGCUCUAGGAUAGCAGCGAGGAAUCCUUUUUCCAUCAACGAAUGGCCCAUAGAAAGGAUCCUGUCCACCUUGUACUAUCUUAACGUACAAGUGCCUCCGAAUCUGGAUCAUGAUCAGCUCUUGACUCUUUUACAGAAGUCAAUCAAGACCCGCAGCCCCCAUCUACCAACGCAGUAUCUUCUCUUCCCCGAUCUACUGGCCGUAAAGCCUCGGAGAAAAGAAAAAAUAUCUCCACAGAUCAAGACAGGAUUCUCUCAGCGCUGCUGUCAGUUCAAGGAACCCUCUCCGCCAUGGACAACAGGAUCCAGGCGCUGGAAUCACAGCGCUCAUCUCCUGUACCUCGGGCGGCGGUUGACGGACAGACUUCCAGCUCAACAUCAAACCGUGCCAUUACUCCCGAUUUGGCUCUUCCUAGUAGAUCUCUCGGAUCAGCUUUACCUGCCGCUUCCACUGGGCUGCCCUUCUUCCCCCCCAGCAGCUGCCAUUUCUCCCCAUCUGUGCGCUCAAAUCCUGUCAGGUAACGACAUUAACUUGGUUAAAAUAUUGCUAUGUGCAGAAACUAACAAAAGAAGGAUCGUGGAUUGUGGAGAUAUAUCUGUCAUUCUAAAAGAUAACGAUCCAAGACUCACCAAAAGUUUAACCAUGGCAGAAUUUAACGUUGCUUUCGGAGUGUUAAGAGACAUUAUCUGUGAGGAGUAUCCAGACAGGAGGAAGGAAUUAGAUACUUAUCUAGCCAUCAUUUCGGAUCUCGCUAUGUCUUACGGAGGCACACUAUUCUACGAAUAUCACAAAUCAUUCUCAUCUAAAGCCGCUAUGUACAUACACCGCUUUAAUCAGAAACUGGACUGGUCUGUGGUCGAUCUAGCACUCAUUAGCAGACACUUUACGGGCCACCGAGCAUUGUCAUGCUCUCUCUGCAGUUCAUUUUCCCACACCGCAUCUCUCUGCCCUAAGACUGCGUCAACUUACGACACUAGCGCUUCGGCGCCAGAACAGGUGAAGCCUGGAAGACAAACCCCUAUUUGUUAUAAUUUCAAUGAGAAUGUUUGUACUCGUUAUAAUUGCAAAUUUUUUCAUGCUUGCAACUAUUGCGGGAACAGUCACCCAAGGUUUUCUUGUCCACGCCGCACAAAAUUCCCAAAAAAGAAAUAAA
Molecule: long non-coding RNA, 1379 nt
Organism: Cyprinus carpio (common carp)
Lineage: Eukaryota; Metazoa; Chordata; Actinopteri; Cypriniformes; Cyprinidae
Source: Ensembl